Centruroides sculpturatus (bark scorpion) is the source of this 546-nucleotide long non-coding RNA. RefSeq lists it as uncharacterized. The transcript has 3 exons. The record is from RefSeq and is a predicted model, not a curated record. NCBI's taxonomy places the organism in Eukaryota, Metazoa, Arthropoda, Arachnida, Scorpiones, Buthidae.
UAAAUAUAUUUUUUCUUAUUUUUAUGUAGGUGCGUGUUGAAGGCUAUGACUAUGUAGGUGUGGGCAAUUCUACAAAUAAAAAAGAUGCUCAAACUAAUGCUGCCAGAGAUUUCUUAUUAUAUCUGGUGCGAAUAGGAAAACUCACUAAAGAUGAAGUACCUGUAGAAAUACCUUCUCAAACAUCUGAAGAUAAUCUGGAUGGAUCAGGUGCUGGUUCUUUACCUCCAGGUGUUGCUCCUCCUCCUCACGAAACUCUUGGUAAUGAGUUUACUAUUAGAAAGGAGGCUGAUACAAUUGGUAAUUAUCUUCCAUAUCAACAAGGACCGCCACCAGAAUAUUUAGACAGAGUAGCAGAAAAACGAAGACUAGAAGAGGCAGAAGAUUUGGAUGUUAACUCUGCUAUUCAUGGAAAUUGGACUCUUGAAAAUGCCAAAUCUAAACUUCAUCAGUUCUUCCAAGUUAAUAAAAUCAGUGCAGAAUACAAAUAUAGUCAAGUUGGACCAGAUCAUAACAGGUUUUGUUUUUAAGAAUAUACAUAUAAAAAAU